Molecule: RNA transcript, 5230 nt
Organism: Zingiber officinale
Lineage: Eukaryota; Viridiplantae; Streptophyta; Magnoliopsida; Zingiberales; Zingiberaceae
Gene name: AP-1 complex subunit gamma-2-like
Exons: 20
Source: RefSeq, a predicted model, not a curated record
UAAACGGGAAAUCGAACGACACCCCCGCAGAAUAAAAUCGUGCCCACGCUCAGAUCCAGCUGUUUUCUUCUCUCUGUUUCUCUUCUCGAAUCCGAGAGAUUCCCUCGCCCAGAUCUUGACCUCUGCCCUCGUAUCCUACCGGAGGUUUAGAUCCUCCUGCUUCGCAGUGUGCCGGAGACGCUGGUCGAGCCUUGGGAGACCCCGCGGCCGUCACAACCAUGAAUCCCUUCUCCUCGGGUACGCGAUUGAGGGACAUGAUUAGAGCCAUUCGGGCCUGCAAAACUGCUGCAGAAGAAAGGGCUGUUGUAAGAAAAGAAUGUGCAGCUAUCCGUUCUGCAAUCAGUGAAAGUGAUCAAGGUUACAGGCACAGAAACAUUGCAAAACUCAUGUUCAUUCACAUGCUUGGUUAUCCAACACAUUUUGGUCAAAUGGAAUGUCUGAAGCUGAUAGCUUCUGCUGGAUUUCCUGAGAAACGAAUUGGUUACCUAGGCCUUAUGCUUCUUCUUGAUGAAAGACAAGAAGUUCUUAUGCUGGUCACGAAUUCCUUGAAACAAGAUCUUAAUCACUCAAAUCAAUAUAUUGUGGGUCUUGCACUCUGUGCUUUAGGAAAUAUAUGUUCCACGGAAAUGGCAAGGGAUCUAGCACCUGAAGUAGAAAGAUUAUUGCUAAGUAGAGAUCCAAACAUUAAGAAAAAGGCUGCCUUGUGCUCUAUCAGGAUCAUAAGAAAAGUACCAGACUUGGCAGAAAACUUUUUGAGCUUGGCAGCUACUUUGUUGAAGGAAAAGCAUCAUGGAGUCCUAAUAUCUGGAGUGCAGCUCUGUACAGAUCUUUGUAAAGUCAGUGAAGACGCAAGCAAUUAUUUGAGGAAGAACUGCACAGAAGGAUUGGUUCGAAUACUGAAAGAUGUUUCUAGUAGCCCAUAUUCACCUGAGUUUGACAUUGCUGGGAUUACGGAUCCCUUCUUACAUAUUCGGGUUCUUAGGCUGAUGAGAAUGUGUGGCCAAGGAGACUCCGAUACCAGUGAAUAUAUAAAUGAUAUUCUUGCACAGGUUGCUUCAAAAACUGAAUUAAACAAAAAUGCUGGGAAUGCUAUUCUAUAUGAAUGUGUGGAAACUAUAAUGGGUAUAGAAGCUACUAGUGGUUUGCGUGUGCUUGCAAUUAACAUUCUGGGUAGAUUCUUGUCAAACCGUGACAAUAACAUCAGAUAUGUUGCCUUGAACAUGCUUAUAAAAGCUGUUGCAGUAGACUCUCAAGCAGUACAGAGGCACAGAACAACAAUUCUAGAAUGUGUCAAGGAUUCUGAUGCUUCAAUUAGGAAAAGGGCUCUGGAGCUUGUUUAUCUUUUGGUUAAUGAUAUAAACGUAAAACCUUUGACAAAAGAGCUUAUUGAUUAUCUGGAAGUGGUGGAUCAUGAUUUCAAAGGAGACCUUACUGCUAAAAUUUGCUCAAUUGUUGAAAAGUUUUCCCAAGAAAAGAAAUGGUACAUAGAUCAGAUGUUCAAAGUGUUAUCUCUGGCAGGGAAUUAUGUGAAAGACAACGUGUGGCAUGCACUUAUAGUUGUAAUAAGCAAUGCACCUGAUCUUCAAGGAUACUCUGUAAGGUCUUUAUACAAGGCAUUCUACACAUCACCCGAACAGGUAAGUUUAGUGCGUGUAACAGUGUGGUGCAUUGGCGAAUAUGGUGAGAUGCUGGUUAACAAUAUUGGGGUGUUGGAAGUUGAAGAGCCAAUGACAGUGACUGAAUCUGAUGCUGUGGAUGUUUUGGAGGCUCGUUUAAUUAGUCAUUCAUCAGACACUGCAACUCGAUCGAUGUCCUUGAUUGCUCUUUUGAAGCUGUCUUCCCGUUUUCCACCGACCUCAGGGAGGGUUAAGGAGAUUAUAACGGUUCACAAAGGAAGUUUUGUGCUUGAAUUGCAACAAAGAGCAAUUGAAUUCAACUCCAUAAUACAGAGACAUCAAAACAUAAAAUCUUCUUUGGUUGAGCGAAUGCCUGUUCUGGACGAGUCAACUGUUAUUGUUAAGAGAGCUGGGCCUUCACAAGCUAGUAUUUCAACUGAGAAAUCUAAUCAACAACCACCUUCUGGAACUUCACUUAAGCUUCCAAAUGGUGUUGCAAAACCAGCUGCUGCACCAUUGGUUGAUUUACUUGAUUUGAGUUCUGAUGAUACUCCUGUUUCUGCUCCAACCUCUAAUGAUUUUCUGCAUGAUUUGUUGGGCAUUGAUUUGACAAACUCAUCCUCAGGCAUUGCUCCAGCCAGUGGUACAGAUAUUCUUAUGGAUCUUUUGUCUAUUGGAACACCACCUGUUCAAAGUAAUACUUCACCUGAAAUUUCCUCCGAUAAAGGAUUAUCACUGAUAACCAAACCGGCUUCUAAUUCUGUUCAUGUAGUAGAUUUGUUGGAUGGAUUAACAUCAAAUGGAUAUCUGCCUGAAGUUCAUAUUCCAGUUUACUCCUCUAUCACUGCUUUUCAAAGUAGUACCCUGAAGAUUACAUUCAGCUUCACGAAGCAGCCUGAUAAACCACAAGUUACUCAGAUCCUUGCUACAUUUAUUAAUUUGUCAUUCGAUGCCUAUACAGAUUUUGUUUUUCAAGCAGCUGUUCCAAAGUUUGUCAAGUUACAUUUAGAUCCAGCCAGCAGUAAUCACCUUCCUUCUAAUGGAAAUGGGGCGGUUACACAAACUGUAACUGUUACUAAUGGUCAGCAUGGACAGGGAUCCAUUUUUCUCUGAGGUUCCAAUUAAUCAAUCAUGUUGGAAACAACCAAAAAUAGCUCCAACACUGGUAUGCACUCAAGGGAUCAACCAACCCUCUUUUCAGCGGGUGAUUUACAUAAUAUUCAAGUUGCAAAUCGACUUAAUGGAAAGAAUUAUUUGAAGCGGUCACAAUUUGUUCGCAUAACCUUGAAGGGAAGAGGCAGGUUAAAUCAUAUACUCAAGACAGGACCAAAUUCAGAAGAUCCCAAGUUUGCUGCAUGGGAUGAAAUAGAUUCAUUAGUGAUGUCAUGGUUAUGGAAUUCGAUGAUUCCAGAAAUCAGUGACUCAUGCAUGUUCCUUGGGACAACCAAAGAAAUUUGGGAUACUAUCAAGCAAACAUGGAGUGUUGAGAUUUAAGUACUUCCUAGCAUUAUCUGAACGAAUUCUUUUGAUUCCAACAUUAAAUUAAGUUUUGACAAUGUGAUAGAAAUUCUGAAAGAAAGUGCUUACACCAGGUUUAUUUUUCAUUGGGUAUAUCCAAGUUACUUGAGUACAAUCAUCCAUGAAAGAUGCAAACUAUCUUGCCCCAGAAAUGUUAGGUAUUGUGGAGGGUCCCCAAAUGUCACUGUAAACAAGUGAAAAAUGAACAAAUGCCUUUGUAUUAUUGAUUGGAAAGGAAGAGUGCUCGUGUUUAGCAAGCUCACAAUCAAUAUAAUGAAAAUUCUUAAACAAAGACUUGUUAACCAAGGACGGGAAUAUAAGCUUAAGAACAUGAAUUGAUGGAUGACCGAAACGAUGAUGAUAAAGCAAAACUUUAUCUUUAUUCGAAAUGGUGGAGAACAAGGAUAAAGGAAAGGAACACACAACUCUAGUACUUCUAUUGUUUUCUUCCAGAUAGUAAAAACCUCUUUCACUAGCAUGUCCAAUCUUCCUCUUUGUGCCCAGUUCCUGAAAUAUUCAAUGAAAUGGGUAGAAGAUUAAAAUAAAAUUAGAAUCUUUAGUGAGCCUUUUGAUAGAGACUACAUUGGUAAGGAGUUUGGGAACAAGAACAUUUUUUAGAGUGAGAUUAUCAUUUAUAUAAACAUCACCCUGGCAUACAACAGUGAUAGUGAUCCAUUGCUGUGAUCUUCUUUUAGCUAGAGCAUGGGGUAUAGGUAAUGAAUUUUUUAGAAGAAUAGAUCAUAUCGUUAAUGGUGCCAGAAUCAAUCACCCAUGUACUUACAUUUGAAGCAUUAGGAUAACAAGAGGUAAAAGAAAUACAUAACGAACAUGUACCUAGUAUAGAUGGUGCUUCAAGUGUCCCCAAGAAAUUCUUAAACUUCUCAAUAUCUUCUUUGCUUAACCUAGAAUUUUUCUUCAUGACUAUUAGGUGCUCGUCCUUGUUCUUUUUCAGCUUUACCAGAGAAAUUUCUAUUCAUUUUUGGAGGUCUCCCAUUUAGUUUCCAACAAGUCUUCUUGGUAUGACCUGAUUUUUUGCAACAAUUGCACGAAAGAAAUUCCUUUGACUACUUGAAAAAAAACUUUGAAAAUUCUACUGGCUUAUUGAUUUCUUCAAGAGACUGUGAAGUAACAGAUUUCAUCACAAGGGCUGACCCAUUAGAGGCCUGUUCUUUAAGCAUAACACUCCUCCCUUCUUUAGUGCGGAUGAUGGAGAUGGUCUCAUUUAAAGACAAUAAGUCCUCCUUUCCCAAGAUAUGUAUGCUUACUGUAUCAAAUUCAACCUUAAGGCCAACAAGAAAAUCAUAACGCAUUCAUUUUCAACAAAUCGCUUAAGGAUGACUUCAUCAGUCCCACACUUCAUUUUGAUACACUGAUAGUGAUCUAAUUCUUGCUAUAAGCCUUUCAAGAGGUUUGAGUACUCAGUGAUUGUAUGAGUUUCUUGUUUCAUGGUUGAGAUUUUGGUCUUAAUCUCAUAAAUUUGGGCUGCAUCAUGAACUAUGGAAUAUGUUUGCUUGAUGGUAUCACAAAUUUCUUUGGCCGUACCCAGGAACAUGCAUGUGUAUUUCUGGAAUCAUCUAAUUCUACAACCAUGACAUCACUAAUGAAUAUGAGAAAUCCUUGGCCAUGCGCAUAAGGAUUGCUUACAAAGUUAACAAUCAAGAGAAAUUGGAACUGGGACAAAUCAACAAUUUCCCUCCUGGUUUAUGAGUCUUCAAACUUUUUUUUUCACUUCUAUCCAAGGAAUAUAGCGCCUUCUGUUUUCUCUUCAUGUUCUUAAAGAAUGCUGGGAAAUUUUGAUCCUUUUUCCAAUGCAAUGUAUAGUUCAUAAAGAAUUAUGAAAGAAUGUCAAGUUUCCACUAUCAGGAGUUCUUUUACUCCCAUUUGGAUUAGCAUUAGUUCAGAGGUCAAUUCAUUUCUCCCGGAGGGUUGAGAUUGUAAUGAAACUGGAGCUAGUGGAUGUAAAAUGUUAUCCGAUGGCUAUAUCUAUCAAUGGUGUCGUGUUGUUUACUGAUUUUCUUGGAUAAUUGGAGACGUAAAGACUUGAAAUUGCAAUUUUAAGCAAUUGUUCAAUAAAAUCUAUUUAAAGUGUUAGUGUA